UGCGUAGGCGGGCUGAUAAGUCAGUGGUGAAAACCUUCAGCUUAACUGGAGACUUGCCAUUGAUACUGUUAGUCUUGAGUACGGUCAAGGUAGGCGGAAUGUGUAAUGUAGCGGUGAAAUGCUUAGAUAUUACACAGAACACCGAUUGCGAAGGCAGCUUACUGGGCCAUUACUGACGCUGAGGCACGAAAGCGUGGGGAGCGAACAGGAUUAGAUACCCUGGUAGUCC
This 229-nucleotide ribosomal RNA is filed under the name uncultured bacterium. RNAcentral's name for it is "partial 16S ribosomal RNA". It matches the Rfam family "Bacterial small subunit ribosomal RNA", at positions 568 to 796 of the family's 1533-position model. The record is from RNAcentral.